This is a non-coding RNA of Vicia faba (fava bean), 325 nucleotides long. The record is from the annotation of a GenBank genome assembly. Lineage: Eukaryota; Viridiplantae; Streptophyta; Magnoliopsida; Fabales; Fabaceae.
AAACUUAAGAAAAUUAGAGAACGUGAAACAAGUAUUUGACCUUUUCACCAUGUUACUCUCCUCAUUUUCCUCCCAUCUUUUAUUCCUCACUUUCCACCCUUCAACAGUGUCACAUCUUUUGUUUUUCCCAACACAACACAACACAAUCAUUCGCAUAACCAAAUCCUUUCUCCACUGUCGGUGCAAUCACAUACAUGAUCCUGUUGCAACAUUCAUCUCUUUUACUUUACUCACCCAUCAAAAACCCUCACUAAAUUUAUCAACUUUUUUGCAACAUCUCAAAUGGGUUUGCCUUCAAAAUUCCAUUUUUGAACUUUUUUCAUGA